RNAcentral lists this ribosomal RNA (252 nucleotides) under Holdemanella biformis DSM 3989. RNAcentral describes it as "partial 16S ribosomal RNA". It matches the Rfam family "Bacterial small subunit ribosomal RNA", at positions 524 to 776 of the family's 1533-position model. The record is from RNAcentral. Lineage: Bacteria; Bacillati; Bacillota; Erysipelotrichia; Erysipelotrichales; Erysipelotrichaceae.
UACGUAGGUGGCGAGCGUUAUCCGGAAUGAUUGGGCGUAAAGGGUGCGUAGGCGGCAGAACAAGUCUGGAGUAAAAGGUAUGGGCUCAACCCGUACUGGCUCUGGAAACUGUUCAGCUAGAGAACAGAAGAGGACGGCGGAACUCCAUGUGUAGCGGUAAAAUGCGUAGAUAUAUGGAAGAACACCGGUGGCGAAGGCGGCCGUCUGGUCUGUUGCUGACACUGAAGCACGAAAGCGUGGGGAGCAAAUAGG